RNAcentral lists this ribosomal RNA (378 nucleotides) under Rhipicephalus turanicus. RNAcentral describes it as "partial 12S ribosomal RNA". The record is from RNAcentral. Lineage: Eukaryota; Metazoa; Arthropoda; Arachnida; Ixodida; Ixodidae.
AAACUAGGAUUAGAUACCCUAUUAUUUAGGAACCUAAAUUGUAAGUAAUAAAGAUUAUGAAAGCAAAAAAUUAUGGCGGUAUUUUAAGCUUUUCAGAGGAAUUUGCUCUUUAAUGGAUAAAACACCUAAAUCUUACUUAAAUUUGUUAAUUCAAUUUGUAUACCACUAUAAAAACAAUUUAUAACUUUAAUUGUUGAUAUUUAUUAAAUUAAAAUAUAUUAAGUCAAGGUGCAGUAAAAAUUUAAGGAUGAAGUGAAUUACAUUACUUUUUAGAGAAAUAAAUUUAAAAUAAUAUUUAGGAUUUGAAAGUAAAAUUAAAAUAUAAUGUUAAUUUGAAUUAAGCUCUAAAAUAUGUACACAUCGCCCGUCGCUCUCAUU